ACUUAGAUAGUUUAAAGUUAAAACGAUGAUUUGUGGUGUCAUAAAUAUAUUAUAAAUAUAUUCUAAGUU
This 69-nucleotide transfer RNA is filed under the name Cephus pygmeus. RNAcentral describes it as "tRNA-His". It matches the Rfam family "tRNA". From Rfam's summary of the family: Transfer RNA (tRNA) molecules are approximately 80 nucleotides in length. Lineage: Eukaryota; Metazoa; Arthropoda; Insecta; Hymenoptera; Cephidae. The record is from RNAcentral.